AUCGCUUCUCGGCCUUUUGGCUAAAAUCAAGUGUAGUAUCUGUUCUUAUCAGUUUCCGCCAGUCGAUGGGAAACGCUGGUAUGAGACUAGUGAGGAUGGGUGCUGCAUGGAGGGGGCAGGUGUAUCGGGGCUGGUUCUGAGGAAUCAGCUCGACGGCUGCCCUGAUGUGACCUGUUUACUCCGGGUUUCGCCAUGAGGUA
Hyla sarda is the source of this 200-nucleotide small nuclear RNA. RefSeq annotates it as U2 spliceosomal RNA. The transcript has a single exon. Lineage: Eukaryota; Metazoa; Chordata; Amphibia; Anura; Hylidae. The record is from RefSeq and is a predicted model, not a curated record.